This 492-nucleotide ribosomal RNA is filed under the name uncultured bacterium. RNAcentral's name for it is "partial 16S ribosomal RNA". It matches the Rfam family "Bacterial small subunit ribosomal RNA", at positions 29 to 507 of the family's 1533-position model. The record is from RNAcentral.
AGUGAACGCUGGCGGUAGGCCUAACACAUGCAAGUCGAACGGCAGCACAGUAAGAGCUUGCUCUUACGGGUGGCGAGUGGCGGACGGGUGAGGAAUACAUCGGACUCUACUUUUUCGUGGGGGAUAACGAAGGGAAACUUACGAUAAUACCGCAUACGACCUACGGGUGAAAGCAGGGGAUCUUCGGACCUUGCGCGAUUGAUUGAGCCGAUGGCGGAUUAGCUAGUUGGCGGGGUAAAGGACCACCAAGGCGACGAUCCGUAGCUGGUCUGAGAGGAUGAUCAGCCACACUGGAACUGAGACACGGUCCAGACCCCUACGGGAGGCCGCAGUGGGGAAUAUUGGACAAUUGGCGCAAGCCUGAUCCAGCCAUACCGCGUGAGUGAAGAAGGCCUUCUGGUUGUUAAGCCCUUUUGUUUGGAAAGAAAAUCAGCAGGUUAAUACCCCGCUGUUCUGACGGUACCCAAAGAAUAAGCACCGGCUAACUUCGUG